This 4561-nucleotide long non-coding RNA is filed under the name Equus caballus (horse). Its description in RNAcentral is "lncRNA (ENSECAG00000051620.1)". The record is from RNAcentral. Lineage: Eukaryota; Metazoa; Chordata; Mammalia; Perissodactyla; Equidae.
CUCAAUUCCUUUUGUCCUGAUAUUUCCUUGUGACUUAAGGUCACAGGGAUGCUGUGGGUCAGGAGCUUCACCACAAAGUGGGAUUCUUUGAAGGGCAAGGACUGCCCACAGAAGGAUGCCCACCAUCCCAAUAGACGAAAGGAAGUCAAAAGACGCCUGAAAUGAAUCAUCACUUACCAUGGGCGAAUUGUAUGGUAUGUGCAUUAUAUCUCAAUCAAAAAAAAAAAGAGAGAGAGAGAGACAGUCUGAAGUUUCCAGGUCUCCAGGACCCUUGGAGACUCUUUCAUGGCAUCCUGAAAACCCCAGCCUGAGCAUCAGAGCCAUUUCCUUCUAUUUACAAAAGCACCAGUGGUCACCUUCUUCAAGGGCCGCUGGAAAUGGUGUGGAGAGUCUGGAGCAAACUGCUAAAAACCGUGCAGUCAAAAUUCACCUGCGGAGCAGACCUGCUGACUCUGGCACUUCUGGGGGAUUGCAUAUCCUACAGAUGUCCCUGGUAGGUGGCCACGUGGAGGCCACACUGGAGCUGCCAUAACCCGUCUACAGAUGAACACACAGACCUGGGAUUUGGGCACCAGCUGGAACGCUAGAGCUGCCAGGUGGAAGGUCUCAUUUCUGGUCCCAUUUCUCAGGUGCCAACGCUGAUGACCAAACUCUCCAUCACCAACCUCUGCCCCCACCGGGGAAUAAACGCCCACUGGAGACAGAGGGCGCAGCUCUGGGGUCAGGAUAUUGGGGCCCACGGUCUCGCCCACGAUUUUGUCUUCACAUCCUGAAAACCCUCUCUCAGGGAGCUGGGAAAAUCCAAUCGCCCCCACAGCUCAGGGGGCUCUGACUGGAACCAGCAGUAGCACCACCAGACCACCAGACCCAUGGCCCGCAGCUUGGGGUCAUCUGCAUCCGGUGCUGGGCUCCUCAUGGCUCCAGUUAAAGGAAGGCAUUAGUGUGCCUUAAUCCAUUUGAAUGACUUCAAAUCCAGCUGGCCGCUGCCUUGGCACCGCAGCCCAGCUUUCCGCCCCACCACCACCUCCUUUGCGGUCAGCCCGCGGGACUCACAGCAUCGCGGUUGCCCAGACAACACCUCAACCCACGGCCAGAGCUGCAUCGUGAUUGGUCCAAGCUCAAGAGCUUGCUAAUCUCCCUAGCAGCGAUUGAUUAGAAGUGGACACGUGACACAGCCUGGAUCGGUUUCCCGCCUCCUAGUGGAGAGACGGCCUUCCUCCGGAGACUGUCUGGAUGUGACAGCCCGAGGGAUGCCCAGAGCCCCAGUGGGCCAACCCUGGUACCACCCUCCCUUCAAACGACUGGUGUGAAAUAACAUAUAGCCCCAUCGACUUCGCCAGUUUCUGUCGGGCGUUUCUGUUCCCUCUGCUGGAAGCAUCCGCGCUGCUCUUGAUUCCACGAAUGCUGAGAACACCUCCUGGACCUGUGCGGAGCCAAGUCCUGCUUUGGUUGUGCCUCCUCUCACAUGGGGCGUUUCCCUUCCUUCCUCACGUGCGUGAUCUUCGCUUGACCUUCUCUAGCAACCGGACCGGCUCUUUACCAGUAGGCACCUGGGGAGAGUGACGCCACGAUGGUUCUGAGGAGAACUUGUCUGUUCCCACUUGAUUUGUUGCACUUUCACCAUCACUAUGAGAAAAAGCUUCUCUGGAGCAGCUGCUGCCCCUUGAGCCUGGGCCAGACAUGCACACACCUCUCCAGGAGGCCAAGACCUGACAGACUGAGGUGAUAACAAGGAAAAAGAAAAGCUGUCGAACCACACCACUCAUCUGUCAGUAGCCAGGCUGUGGCAGCGGUCAUCCUUCUGGGACCUCCUAGGCUCUCUGGGGGCAGGACUCUGGCUGUAUGGUGAUAGAAGAUCGCUAUGAUGAAGGUCAACCUUGUGGAUGAUACUUUUUUGCUGGGCCAAUUACUUUGCAUAAAGCCGGAAAAUGAUUCAUCUGUGUAGUCCAGCUUAGCAGGUCCUCAGCAGAGAACACCUUUAGAAAGCGACGGAGAGGGUGAAAUCGAUUUUCCUAUGAGGGUAUACAUUUCUGCGUCCUCACCAUAUGCAGUUGGAUGAGUUAUAAGCACACAUGCCCAUUACUUCUAUUCAGUUUGACACACUUAGAAUAAAUGGCCAGGCUUUAGAGCUGCUUCUGUUUUAUCUUUGUAGUUCUGGGCCCAAGAAGGCAAACUCUUUCAGUUUUAGUUCCUGUGUCUUCAAGGCUGUACCCUUGAGUUUUGGCAGAAAGUCCUUAAGGAUUCCGGGCUGCUGUGCCCCUGGGGCUUCGAACUUCCAGAACUUUCUCCCAUUCCAUUCUCUUUUUUUCUGGGCUCACGGAUCCUCAUCUCCUUUGAAAUCCCUGUGGAUAAGAUGGUGAAACACAGGCUGGAAGCCACUGAGAUCUGAGAGCUGAGCAACUAGUUGAACAACUGUGCCUAAAGGUGUCCCAGAAGCAGAUGGGUGUUAACUGAAUGGGGUCUGCAAGGGAGGCCCUGGCUGCCCUUGGCACUUCCUUGUUCUAUAUUUGUGUCUGCAACAGCUGAAUUCGGACAUGACCUGGGUAUAGAAAACAUAUUAGCCUAAUAGUUAAGAAUAUGGGCUGGCACCAAACCGCUGGGUUGAAGUCCGGCACUGCCACACACUAGCUAGUUGUCCUGGAGCAAGUUAUUUAACUUCCCUAUGCCUCAGUUUACUCAUCUAUAUAAUGGGAAUCCUAAUAGUUUCCACUUUAGAAUUGUUGCGAGGAUUGAGAGUUAAGCACCUAGAAUUUACUGUUCCUGUGUUGGUCGUUGUUACAACAGUUGUUGGGUGUAGUUGUAAUAACAGGGAGUUGCAACACUAGCAGGUGGGAGGGGGAGUAAAUGCACCAGCUGACAAAAUGGGAUCCAGAAUAUCUCACUAAGUCACGGUGAUGGGCAAAUUUAACAAUAAAGCUGACUGCUGUGCCCCCAACAGCACAGGAUGAGAAAAACAUGGUUUUGCAGUAGUACAGGAGAAAAUGAUGUGAGGGAUCGUUCCAUAGUAAAUUUAAUAGGAAUCAACUCAAGUGGUGGGUUACCAUACAAAAAAAACUUACAUAAUCUCCCCCCGUGUCCCUUAGAUGUGGGUGAUUGGAAGGGGGAGGGCACCGGCCUUAGCCUGGACAGGCAGACCACACCUGGACAAAUUUGGGGUGCCCACUGUGAAGGGAGUCUAGACAGGCAGGAAUGCGUGCAGAGGAGAGUGAGCUGAUCCUGCAGGGGCUGGAAGGCAUGUGACUCAGUAAGCGAUGCCACCUGUGGUAACAAACAAGUCCCUAACCACAGAGACGGAACACAGUCGUUAAUUACUUGCUCACCUAACCGAUGUUCUGACGUAGGGGUGAGCCAUCCUCCAGCAGUGGGCCAGGGCACCUCCCUUUGUGCUGAAAGAGUGUGGAGACUAUAAGUGGAAGGCGUGUAUGGGUCAGGUCUGGAAAUGGCCACACGCAUUCACUCACAUUCUAGAGCCCCUGUGGUCACACCUGCAGGAGAUGCUAGGUAGUGCAGUCUGGCCAUGAGGCCAGCAGAAGAGACGCACUUGGCGAUCAGCCACUGGCAUCUGCCACUCUACGAAUUGUGAAGAAGGUCCAAGAAGCAGGACGCUGAGCCCGAGAAGAGUGGGAGGGCUUAAGAUGUGUCUCCAAACAUUGGAAAGGUCUCUUUGUAAAAGAGAGGAUCAUCUUUGUUGGUGUCACUUCAGAGGGCAGAAGCAGAACCUGUGGAUGGAGAGAUCUAGGGAGGCUGGUGGGGUGAACGACCAUCCUAGUUUGCCUGGACUGUCUGGUUUUAGCAAUGAAAGCCUACCUCCUGGGAAACCCAUCCGAUGACAUCAGAUGACGUUGGUCAUCCCAGCGUGGCCAACUUUGGGUUGACACAGGUGUGUCUAUCCUAGGAGCUAUCCCGGGCAACACUCCUUCCCCCGUCCCCCCACUCAUUUAGAUAUGAGUGACAGUGUUGUUGGCCGUCAGUUCAAUGUUAAUGAGCCAACAAUAGAUGUUAAAUAAGGUGUCUUUAAAGAGAAGUACAUUGAUUGACUGAUGAAAAUGUUGCAGCCAGAGGUUUGCAGGAACCUAACCCAGUGUUUCCCCUAGGAGCGAUGGUGCAGUAUUCGCUAAUUCCAUUUCAUGGUGACUUUAUAGAACAUAGCUACUGAAGAUAACAAGAAUUGACUUUAUAUCCAUACAAUGGAAUAUUUUCGGCCAUAAAAAGAAAAGAAGUCCUGAUGCAUGCCACAACAUGGAUGAACCUUGGAAACAUUUUGCUGAGUGAAGUCAGUCACAAAAGACCAUGUUUUGUGAUUCAAUUUUAUGAAAUGUUCACAAUAGGGAAAUCUCUAGAGACAGAAAGAUUAGUGGUUGCUUGGGGCUGGCCGAUGGAGGGGAGAGGGAGAGUUAGAGGGGAACAAUAGCCCCGGGGUACAGGGUUUCUUUUUGGGUGAUAAAAAUUGUCUGAAAUUGACUUUGUGAUGGUUGCACAUAUCUAUGGCUAUACAAAAACACUGAAUUGUAUACUUUAAAUGGGUGAAUUGUAUGGUAUGUGAAUUAUAUCUCAAUAAAGC